RNAcentral lists this ribosomal RNA (463 nucleotides) under Thermobifida cellulosilytica. RNAcentral describes it as "bacterial SSU rRNA". It matches the Rfam family "Bacterial small subunit ribosomal RNA", at positions 39 to 497 of the family's 1533-position model. The record is from RNAcentral. Lineage: Bacteria; Bacillati; Actinomycetota; Actinomycetes; Streptosporangiales; Nocardiopsidaceae.
GCGGCGUGCUUAACACAUGCAAGUCGAGCGGUAAGGCCCUUCGGGGUACACGAGCGGCGAACGGGUGAGUAACACGUGAGUAACCUGCCCCUGACUCUGGGAUAAGCCCGGGAAACCGGGUCUAAUACCGGAUAUGACUCCUGCUCGCAUGGGUGGGGGUGGAAAGGUUGGUUUUCCUUCCGGUCGGGGAUGGGCUCGCGGCCUAUCAGCUUGUUGGUGGGGUGACGGCCUACCAAGGCGAUGACGGGUAGCCGGCCUGAGAGGGCGACCGGCCACACUGGGACUGAGACACGGCCCAGACUCCUGCGGGAGGCAGCAGUGGGGAAUAUUGCGCAAUGGGCGGAAGCCUGACGCAGCGACGCCGCGUGGGGGAUGAAGGCCUUCGGGUUGUAAACCUCUUUUACCACUCACGCAGGCCUUGGGUUUUCCUGGGGUUGACGGUAGGUGGUGAAUAAGGACCGGC